UACGUAGGGGGCGAGCGUUAUCCGGAAUUACUGGGCGUAAAGCGCACGUAGGCGGCUUUGUAAGUUAGAGGUGAAAGCCCGGGGCUCAACUCCGGAAUUGCCUUUAAGACUGCAUCGCUAGAAUUGUGGAGAGGUAAGUGGAAUUCCGAGUGUAGAGGUGAAAUUCGUAGAUAUUCGGAAGAACACCAGUGGCGAAGGCGACUUACUGGACACAUAUUGACGCUGAGGUGCGAAAGCGUGGGGAGCAAACAGG
RNAcentral lists this ribosomal RNA (253 nucleotides) under uncultured bacterium. RNAcentral describes it as "partial 16S ribosomal RNA". It matches the Rfam family "Bacterial small subunit ribosomal RNA", at positions 524 to 776 of the family's 1533-position model. The record is from RNAcentral.